AUGACAAGGCCUAGCACUGGGAGUCAUUAGGCACCAGAACCCUGAAUGCCGAGAUAGAGGGAUGGCUGAUCUCAUGCUAAUGAGGUUUAGACCAUGUUGAGCCCUACUUUUGUUCUGUGGGAUGUUGGAUAUCCCUUAUACACCUAUGGCUCCAUCUUCAUCGUUAUUGUAAUUAUCUGGCAAGUGAAAAGGAGCCACCAUGAAUUGAACUUGGAAGUUGAAAGGAGCUGCUGCUGGCGUCACCAAAAAGUCAGGCAAAGAGCUAGAGAUGCAGCAUCAACAGCUAGGAGACUUUCUCAGGAAGAAGAUCAGAAGCCACAAGAGCUGUUCUCUGUCAUGAAAAGCCAGGGCUGGCUUCCCCCAGAGGGAAGUGUGCGGCGAAUCCUAUGUACAGAUCCCUGUUGCCAAAUUUGCAAUGCUAUGGCUCUGGAGAUUCAGCAGUUGCUGGCGGAUGAGAAUGACUAGAUCUCCCCAACUUUGUCGAGGAGUCCAUCACAGGUCUCCUCUUGCCUAGAGAUCUUGUCUCUGUCUAGUGUAUCCUUUGAGCAGAGUAUAGAGCUCCAUUCCAGAAAUAUCAGAGAGCUUUCACUGGCAUCUAUAAACCCAACACUGUCACAAUUAACAGAUCAGAAAUCUUUAACCCAGUCAGCUGCCCAGUCAACGUAUGCAGAUGGCAUACAAGAUUACUGGGCUGAUCACCUCCAGCUAGGGCCGGAAUUUCAAGUGCCAGCUGUGCUCCGGGGCCCAAACACCAUAGCUUCUUCAAGGCUUGACAAGCCAAGGGCUCCACUGAACCAGGAGGAGAUGAGCAGAGCAACCCCAGCCUUGUCCAGGGAAACCAAGGCCAGCAUCACUUGAAUUUCCAGGUCUCCUUGCUGUCCCUGAACCCAGAAACCCUGAACCGGAUGCAUCCGAUGGCCUUGCAUAUGGUCCUCCCUGCCCACCUGCCAUUUCUCAGUCCUGAAGUGCUGAGGCUUCUUGAGGUACAUGUUAAAAAAUGGAUGCAUUUCCAGAGGUGGGGGCUCCCAAGACGUGUGGAGGAGUCCCUGAGGCAGCUUAUGCCAAACCCACCAUUGUAUUACCAACCUGGAAAUGACCAGCCAGUUUCUUUCAACCUGAAUAAUACUUCUCAGGUCUCUCUUCACAGAUCUGAGACCAUUUCCCUCCAGACCUGGUGUUCAUGUGUGGCUGGCCAGCCCAUCCAGACCUUCUGGGUUUCUGAAUGGUCCACAAUGAACCCAGAACAAAGACACCACUGUCAGCAAACUCCAAACCCUAUGGCUCUAGCCUUGCCCUCUCCAGCCCUUAAAGCCCUAAGUGGCCCCCAUCCACAGUCUGGGGGACAAGAUAAUGACUCAGGGAGUGAUCUCCAGCAGAAAUACAGCCAGCUAUUCUGUGGGCUCCCUUCUCUGCACAGUGAGUCCCUGGUUGCCACUUUCAUGGGAUCUCAAGGCCUUCCCAAGAUUGAAAAUGUGCCCAAGCCCCCCUUGAAGGAUCCUUUUCUCUUCAAUGAUCUCUCCUUCCCCCAACUGCUCCCUAAAACUUCACCCCAGUCAGCCCCACCCUCUUCCCCACUUUCGCCAAAUUGGGUGUCUCCAUCUGACCAUCAACGAGCUCAGAUCAAUGUCCCAUUUCUGACUCUGGCUGAGUAUGAAGCCUUGGAGUGGCACCUGCUACAGAGGCAACUCCAGCUUCAGUGGGGCUGGCCAGCUGCCCUCCAGAGGUCUCAGCACACCCAGUGCCUCAUGCAGCAUGAGCCCUGUGGCAAAGCUCAGUCUCCUGAGACCACGACAGCUUCCCAGACAGGGAAGUCCAUCUCAGUGCUCACCAGGGAACUACUCUUCUUCCCGGAGCAUGCCCGGAAGCUGCUGGAAUUCCACAUCCAGAAACAGUCGAUUCGCCAUCGCUGGGGCCUGCCUCAGAAGAUCCAGCAGUCCAUCCAGUUGCUCCUUACCUCCACUGACCAGCAGACUGUGUCCAGCAGCAGCACAGCCCUAGCCAACGUGAGCAUCCCCCAGCCUGUAGCCCUAGAGGCCAACGGGGCUUGCGAUGUGCUGUCACCCAUUGCGGCCCCAGUGUCCAUCCCCAGGCCACACUUGUUAACUCAGGUCAAGGCAAUACUGCAGAGCCACAUCGACUCCAAAUGUGGACAAAUCCACCAGGGCAAGAUCCCCGCCUGUGUACACAGGUCCUGGGACUGCAGAAUUUCUGGGGUCCUGGCAGUGGCUCCUUUUCCCUGCAUUCCAGAAAGCCAGUUCCUGGUACUGCAGACAGCAAGUGACCCAGACCUACAUCACAAAGUUAUGCCCUGGAUGCCAACGGCCCUUGAUCAGCAGCAACAGGCCUUACCAGGUACUGUCACUGAACACCCUAAGCUGCUCCGAGUCUUGUCUGUGGAAGCCAUUGAGAAACUGGAGACAACUUUACGGCACAAGCAUCUGGCCUUCCUGUCGGGGCUGCCUGCUCUGUAUUAUGUGGCGCUCCCCAGGGCCCUGGCCCCGGCAGUCACUAGCCAAUCUGUCAUCACAGAGAUGGAGCCUAGUCCCGUGGAAAUCCCAGCAGAGCCUCUGAUUUAGAUGGUUUCAUUUGAAGAACAGUGUAUAAGUCUUGGGCCAUGCCCUCAAGGCAACAAUGAGAGUUGUACAGACGUUGCAAAAGAGUUCCAGCCUGCAGUGCCAGUAAAAGGAACAAUGGAGACGCUGCCUCUAGAAAGCCAGACGCAUCCUACUAGCCCCCACUCACUCCAGACACAUAUCUUGACCAAACUAAACUUCCACCUGAGAAAAAAGGUCCUAGAGAUACAAUGGGGAAUUCCCAUUAGGGCAAGGAAGUCCAGGGAACAAACUGCUGCAGCACCAGAGAACAUAUCCACACAGAAGUCUCUUGAAAGUCUAAACCACCAAGGGGAGACAUUGCUCCAGGAACUGCCCAUCCCACCAGACACUCUUCCUGCCCCUAAUCCAGAAGGGGUUCACCUUAAAGAACAGCUGGCCAAUGACUUGAAGGCAGUGCAGCAGAACCAAAAGCAAUCCAAUUCCAAAGCAGUACCCCAGGGUUCUGCCCACUCGGUCUCCAAGAUCUCACAACCCAGUGGGGACAUGACAGAGGCCCACAUGCCUUGUGUUCAGGUAGAGGCCAGUGUGAACAACCCCAGCCUGGAGGAACCCUGUGGCCCUGAGCCUCAAAGCCCUAGCAAGAGCAAGGACCCAGCCCAUGUCCCCAUGCUAGCAGGAAACAGAGAGGACCCAGAGGAAACCAAAGCAGCCAGGGACUACAGAGAAGGGGAUGCGGGGUUUGGGCGCUCCUCAACCAGAGAAGAGAGACGCCCUGCUGAAGACCAGAGGCCAGCAGGGAUGCUUCCAAACAAGACACCCCGAGGGUCCUGGCGAUGGAGCCGUAGCUUUCAUCUUGCUGAUCCCUGUCAACACAGCCCCCAGCAUCACCCUCAGUUUAAGCUCCCACAGCUACCUCCACGAGUCCCUGGGGAGAAAGAGUCUGAGAAGGACCUGCAAGACAGUCAAACCAAGCUAACUGUCAUCCUUGAACCAGCAACAAUUCCUGAGAAUACCCAGACUGUGGUGCCCCAGCUUCACAGGGUCAGCCUUUCCUGAGCCAACCAACUCAGGCUAAGCCUUUGCAGGGCCAAACUUUGCAAUGCCAAGUUUUACAUGGGCUGGUGAUGCCAGCCCAUACUCAAAAGAAGCCCAGCCUUACAGAGUCUAGCUUCAGAAAUAAAAUUAAAUGUUUUCUGG
This is a long non-coding RNA of Homo sapiens (human), 3752 nucleotides long. The record is from Ensembl. Lineage: Eukaryota; Metazoa; Chordata; Mammalia; Primates; Hominidae.